This 133-nucleotide small RNA is filed under the name Klebsiella planticola. Its description in RNAcentral is "Raoultella planticola RtT sRNA". It matches the Rfam family "RtT RNA". From Rfam's summary of the family: This family represents a bacterial cis-regulatory element known as RtT RNA. The exact function of RtT is unknown although it is thought that it may be involved in changing the cellular response in relation to amino acid starvation. The record is from RNAcentral. Lineage: Bacteria; Pseudomonadati; Pseudomonadota; Gammaproteobacteria; Enterobacterales; Enterobacteriaceae.
UUGCAUCUGGAGCCGUUGAGGAUGAGAACCUCCGGGGGCAGAGGUUCGACCCGAGCGUAGUGAGGGAACGUUGCCUGAGCAACGGCCCGCAGGGCGAGCCACGCAGUGGCGAGUCAUCCUCUAUCACCGACCA